RNAcentral lists this ribosomal RNA (463 nucleotides) under Premnobius sp. 2 AIC-2013. RNAcentral's name for it is "partial 28S large subunit ribosomal RNA". Lineage: Eukaryota; Metazoa; Arthropoda; Insecta; Coleoptera; Curculionidae. The record is from RNAcentral.
AGGGGUAAACCUGAGAAACCCGAAAGGUCGAAGGGAGAAAUUCAUCGCGUUUCGCGGUAGACGGCGAGCGGUCGCGCGACGGAAGAACGUUUACGCUCUUUCGCGCCUUCAGUUCGUCGAAUCUGCCGCGAACGCGUGCACUUUUCUUCUGGUAGGACGUCGCGAUCCGUUGGGCGUCAGUCUACGGCUCGAGGUGGAGCCCGCUCGUCGCCUUCAUCAGCGUACGGACGGACCCUCGCGUCCCGGCUGACUCGCUCGACGGUACACUCGAAAGGUUAGGGGCCGCUCAUCUGCGAGCGUUCGGCUCGCGGCAAGCGCGUCAGACGUGUCGGCGAUCGGACCCAGUGCCGAUUCCGACCUCUGGCGACUGUUGGCCGUCGAAGUUCUCGAACAGACCCGUUGACCGAUCUGCGACGCUAUAGCUUUGGGUACUUUCAGGACCCGUCUUGAACACGGGAGCAAA